This 443-nucleotide RNase P RNA is filed under the name Planctomycetota bacterium. RNAcentral describes it as "Planctomycetes bacterium (hot springs metagenome) RNase P RNA component class A". It matches the Rfam family "Bacterial RNase P class A". Rfam says of the family: Ribonuclease P (RNase P) is a ubiquitous endoribonuclease, found in archaea, bacteria and eukarya as well as chloroplasts and mitochondria. Its best characterised activity is the generation of mature 5'-ends of tRNAs by cleaving the 5'-leader elements of precursor-tRNAs. The record is from RNAcentral. Lineage: Bacteria; Pseudomonadati; Planctomycetota.
CCGGGUGGCUGGGCGGCCGCUGGUCGAGGGAGCCGCCACACCACAAAGGUGUGUGGUCGGUACCCUCGGCGAGAGGAAAGUCCGGGCUCCAAAGGACACGGUGGUGGGUAAUGCCCACCGGCCGAAAGGCCAGGGAAAGUGCCACAGAAACCAGACCGCCUCCCGGAGUGGGCAAACCCGCUUCGGGCGGUAAGGGUGAAAGGGUGAGGUAAGAGCUCACCAGCAGGCCGGGUGACCGGUCUGGCUAGGUAAACCCCACCGGGAGCAAGGUCAAGCAGAGGGGAGAAGCAGGUCCAAUAUCUUGAGGACCUGCUCGCGAGUUGGUCCGGCUCGCCACCUACCCUCGGGUAGACCGCUAGAAUUGCCGAGCAAUCGGCAAUCUAGAUGAAUGGCCGCCGCCCCGAAGAGGGGAACAGAACCCGGCUUACAGGCCAUCUGGUACU